UUGUUCGAGGUGAGGAAAGUCCGGGCUCCGCAUGGGGAAAGGCUGGGUAACGCCCAGAAGUCGUAAGGCUUGGAAAGUGCAACAGAAAACAUACCGCCAGAGAUGGUAAGGGUGAAAAGGCGAGGUAAGAGCUCACCGCAUAUGUGGCGACACAGAUGGCAUUGUAAACCCCCUUUGGAGCAAGAUCAAAUAUUGGGUCAUCCCAUGUAUUGCCCAGUGGUAGAUCGCUUGAGGGUAGUGGUAACACUGCUCCUAGAUAGAUGGUUGCAUAAACAGAACCCGGCUUAUGAUAUGCCU
RNAcentral lists this RNase P RNA (297 nucleotides) under pig gut metagenome. Its description in RNAcentral is "Bacterial RNase P class A". It matches the Rfam family "Bacterial RNase P class A", at positions 32 to 352 of the family's 367-position model. Rfam says of the family: Ribonuclease P (RNase P) is a ubiquitous endoribonuclease, found in archaea, bacteria and eukarya as well as chloroplasts and mitochondria. The record is from RNAcentral.